RNAcentral lists this ribosomal RNA (685 nucleotides) under Burkholderia sp. Z41_1. Its description in RNAcentral is "bacterial SSU rRNA". It matches the Rfam family "Bacterial small subunit ribosomal RNA", at positions 51 to 732 of the family's 1533-position model. The record is from RNAcentral. Lineage: Bacteria; Pseudomonadati; Pseudomonadota; Betaproteobacteria; Burkholderiales; Burkholderiaceae.
UAACAUGCAGUCGAACGGCAGCACGGGGGCAACCCUGGUGGCGAGUGGCGAACGGGUGAGUAAUACAUCGGAACGUGUCCUGUAGUGGGGGAUAGCCCGGCGAAAGCCGGAUUAAUACCGCAUACGCUCUACGGAGGAAAGGGGGGGAUCUUAGGACCUCCCGCUACAGGGGCGGCCGAUGGCAGAUUAGCUAGUUGGUGGGGUAAAGGCCUACCAAGGCGACGAUCUGUAGCUGGUCUGAGAGGACGACCAGCCACACUGGGACUGAGACACGGCCCAGACUCCUACGGGAGGCAGCAGUGGGGAAUUUUGGACAAUGGGGGCAACCCUGAUCCAGCAAUGCCGCGUGUGUGAAGAAGGCCUUCGGGUUGUAAAGCACUUUUGUCCGGAAAGAAAACGCCGUGGUUAAUACCCGUGGCGGAUGACGGUACCGGAAGAAUAAGCACCGGCUAACUACGUGCCAGCAGCCGCGGUAAUACGUAGGGUGCAAGCGUUAAUCGGAAUUACUGGGCGUAAAGCGUGCGCAGGCGGUCCGCUAAGACAGAUGUGAAAUCCCCGGGCUUAACCUGGGAACUGCAUUUGUGACUGGCGGGCUAGAGUAUGGCAGAGGGGGGUAGAAUUCCACGUGUAGCAGUGAAAUGCGUAGAGAUGUGGAGGAAUAUCGAUGGCGAAGGCAGCCCCCUGG